CUGUCGUCAGCUCGUGUUGUGAAAUGUUGGGUUAAGUCCCGCAACGAGCGCAACCCUUAUCCUUUGUUGCCAGCGGUCCGGCCGGGAACUCAAAGGAGACUGCCAGUGAUAAACUGGAGGAAGGUGGGGAUGACGUCAAGUCAUCAUGGCCCUUACGACCAGGGCUACACACGUGCUACAAUGGCGCAUACAAAGAGAAGCGACCUCGCGAGAGCAAGCGGACCUCAUAAAGUGCGUCGUAGUCCGGAUUGGAGUCUGCAACUCGACUCCAUGAAGUCGGAAUCGCUAGUAAUCGUGGAUCAGAAUGCCACGGUGAAUACGUUCCCGGGCCUUGUACACACCGCCCGUCACACCAUGGGAGUGGGUUGCAAAAGAAGUAGGUAGCUUAACCUUCGGGAGGGCGCUUACCACUUUGUGAUUCAUGACUGGGGUGAAGUCGUAACAAGGUAACCGUAGGGGAACCUGCGGUUGGAUCACCUCCUU
Molecule: ribosomal RNA, 483 nt
Filed under: Escherichia coli
Lineage: Bacteria; Pseudomonadati; Pseudomonadota; Gammaproteobacteria; Enterobacterales; Enterobacteriaceae
Description: bacterial SSU rRNA
Rfam family: Bacterial small subunit ribosomal RNA
Source: RNAcentral